RNAcentral lists this ribosomal RNA (469 nucleotides) under uncultured bacterium. Its description in RNAcentral is "partial 16S ribosomal RNA". It matches the Rfam family "Bacterial small subunit ribosomal RNA", at positions 28 to 507 of the family's 1533-position model. The record is from RNAcentral.
GAUGAACGCUGGCGGCGUGCUUAACACAUGCAAGUCGAACGGUGAACACGGAGCUUGCUCUGUGGGAUCAGUGGCGAACGGGUGAGUAACACGUGAGCAACCUGCCCCUGACUCUGGGAUAAGCGCUGGAAACGGCGUAUAAUAUAGGGUAUGUUACGUGACCGCAUGGUCUGCGUUUGGAAAGAUCGUUCGUUCGGGGAUGGGUUGGCGGCUUAUCAGCUCGUUGGUGAGUUAAUGGCUCACCACGGCGCCGAGGGGUAGCCGGCCAGCGAAGGUGACCGGGCACAAUAGGACUAAGAGACGGAGCAGAAUCGUACGGGAGGCAGUGGGCGGAAGUAUUGCGCAGUAGGGGCACGCCUGAGGCGGCGGCGCCGGGUGAGGGAUGACGGCCUUCGGGUUGUAAACCUCUUUGUGCAGAGAAGAAGCGAAAGUGACGGUACCUGCAGAAAAAGCGCCGGCUAACUACGUG